Molecule: long non-coding RNA, 2975 nt
Filed under: Marmota monax (woodchuck)
Lineage: Eukaryota; Metazoa; Chordata; Mammalia; Rodentia; Sciuridae
Source: RNAcentral
CCUCAGCAAUUUAGGGAUACACUAUCUCAAAAUAAAUAAAUAAAAAGAGCCGGGGAUAUAGCUCAUAAAGUGCCCCAGGGUUCAAUCCCGAGUGCUGCUAAUAAAAUAAAAUAUGGAUUUAAAAUAAAUAAUAAAAAGGGCUGAGGAUGUAGCUCAGUGGUACAGUACCCCUGGGUUCAAUCCCCUGAGAGGGACAGGCAGGUGUAGCCUUGAAGCUGAAGUUCCAGCUUCCCCCUCUUAGGAGCUAUUCUACCUUGGAAAAGUUAUUUAACCUCCCUCCAUUCUGAAAUAUGUCCUCAGGACCCUCCAUUGGCUCCCCUUCUCACUAAGGGUAAAAGCAAAAUCUUUUUUGCCCCUAGUAUUUCCCCUUUUCCUCCUCUAAAAGUCUUUAUAAUGACUUAAAAGCCCUCUGUCCUCUGGCCUUCUGCUACUUCUCUGACCUUAUCCUCUACUACUCUGCCUUCUACACUGUCUACAUAGGCUACCACCCAGGCCUUUGCACACUGUUAACUGCAAGUUUUUUUUUUUUUCCCAAAAUACCAACAUAAUUCUCUCCCUCACCUUUUCCAGUUUUCUGUUCAAAUGUCGACUUAUCAGAGCCAUCUUUGGCCAUGCUGUUUAAAACAGCAGCAUGACUACUUCUACCACAGUAUAUCUAUCUGCUCUUCUUCCAACUCUAUUCUCCUUUGAUACUUUUUCUCCGUACUUAACACCCUCUAGAAUACUAUAUGUUUUACUAUCUCUUCUCCCUACAGAUUUUUAUCUGGUUGUUUUUUUUUAAAUUUUAUUUAUUUAUUUAUUUAUGGUGCUGGGGAUUGAACGCAGGGCCUUGUGCAUGCAAGGCAAGCACUCUUCCAACUGAGCUAUAACCCUUGUCCUUUAUCUGUUUACCUGUUUCCAAUACUUAAAACAGUCAUUGCUAUGUAAUAAAUAUUCCAAAAUUUUCUAUGAAUACAUGAAUAAAUAAAUCAAUCCAUGAAAGUAUUGUACAAAGUAUUGGCACAUGUUGACUGUUAACAUUUAUCAAACAGUUACUAUGUACCUAAGCUCUGUUUUAAGAAGGGUGCUGGGUGCCAUGGCGUAUACCUAUAAUCCCAGCAGCUCCGGAGGCUGAGGCAGGAGGAUUGUUAAUUCAAAGCCAGCUUCAGCAAUUUAGUGUCGUACUGAGCAAUUCAGGGAGACCCUGUCUCUAAAUAAAACACAAAAUAGGGCUGGGGAUGUGGCUCAGUGGUUGAGUGCCCCUGAGUUCCAUACCCGAUACAAAAAAAAAAAGUCCUGGUUGGACUGGGGAUGUGGGUCGGGGUAGAGCACUUGCCUAGCAUGCUUACAGCCCUGGGUUCCAUCCCAGCACUGAAAUGGAAAAAAAAAAAAGUUCUGGGACAACUGCUAUAGAUGAAAUAUUUUACUUAAUUGUCCCAACAACCUUUAAGGUGGAUAUGAUUAUUAUCUCCCAGAGUUGGGGAAGGUAGUUCACAUCUCCAGAGUCCCAUAGUAAGAGGUAAAAUAGGAUCUGGGACCCAGAUCUUUCUAAUUCCAUGCUCACAAGGUUUCUGAGAAAAUUAAAUGAGUCUAGCUGCCUGCACAAUGAUUAGUAAAUAUUGUUAAUAUUAAUGCUUGGAGAGUAUAGUGUACAGGGUCAGAGAUUAUAUCCAGAGAAAUACUUUCUUAGGAUAAAACAGCUGAGUUAUAUCUUACAAGCUGAAAAGUGUCUUCACCACUAGGUGUCAAACUACUGGAGAGUAAAAAGAGGUUAUUGUUCCCAGGCUUUCAUUCAGAAAUACUAUUAUUAAAAAACUCAUGACUUCUCCAAGGUCACUCAGUUAGUGAGGGCAUUGGGCACUGACUGCCCUCCAUCUUAUUGCUGAGCAUCAGCUCCUUGAACUCAUGACAACAAGUUUCUAAUUUCUUGGUGUUCUUUUCUUUGGAUAUGGAGGUUGUCCUGGAUAAAGAUAAUGGAUAUAAUAGUAUGACCUUUUAUUUUUGCUUUCUGUUUCACAGGGCAGAGACCAGUUUUCUACCAUUAUCAUAUUGUAUUUUUCUCAGAAGCAUCUAAUAGAGACCAAAAACAAGAUUAUAUUAUUUUGGAUUAUCUUUUUUUAUUGUAGUGCCUAAUCAAAAUAUUUAUGGAAUAUUUACGGUUGUCCUGGCCCCUCAGAGCUGUGAAGCUUAGGUGGGAAAAGUCCUAACGAGAAAUUGCCUGUGGAAGACUGGAGGGGUAAAAGUGAACACAAUCCAUCUCUAGGACAUGCUUCCGAUAAUGGGAAGGGAGGGCUGGCAUCUGUGUGUGAGGAACCAUGGGGGAAGUCCUGGAUCUCAGGAUAGUUGGGGAGGACACUCUGGGAGUUAUUAAAAACCAGGCUUACCAGAGGAACUUCAUUUAAAAAUUUUAUUAUGAAAAUGUUUGAAACAUACACAAAGAUAGCAUUGUUCUAUGAACCCACAUAUACUAAUUCAACAAUUAUGAAUUUUGUCACUGUUUGUGCCCUCUACUCUUUUCUUUCUGUUCUUAAUUUUCUUCUGAAAUAUUUAAAAUUAAAGAAUUUGCUUUAUUGUACAUGUCAGCAUGUGUCUCUAGGAAAUAAGGACCUUCUCUUAUAUAACUUCAGGGCCCUUUUUUUUUUUUUUUCCAGGGCCAUUUUUACAACUAGCAAAAUUAGCACUGAUUCUUUGGCAUCAUAAAUACCCAGUCCACAAUUAAAUGUUCCCAACUGUCUGAAAAUAUCUUUUUAUAGUUGGUUCUACAAAUCACGAACUGAAAGAAGUCCACAUGUUCUGUGUAAGUAGUUGGUCUUAUGUGUGUGUGUGUGUGUGUGUGUGUGUGUGUGUGUGUGUGUGUUGCUGGGGAUUAACCCAGAACAUCACACACACACUAGGCAAAGCCUCUACCACUACAAGCUACACCCUCAGCCCUAUAGUUGUCUUUUUAAAACCCUUCUAACUCUCCCCCCUUAAGCCAUUGACUACUUGAGGAAACU